AAAACUGAGGCUUGCAGAGAUUAAGAGAUUUGUCCCAAAUCACAGAGCUGUUAAACUGUCAGGGUUCAUACCCGUAUUUUUGAAUAUGUAACCCGGUUAACGUGUUAACUCCUUCCACUACAUGACUUCAUGACUGCCUACAGCAUCCUCAGAACCUCACCGACACGCGAUCACAAGGUGGUUGGUUAGCCCUACAGAGAAAAUGCUGCAUUAACUUUGGAGAGAAAGGCUAUGAGAGAGAUUAAGAAGGGAGGAAAGGAAAAUAGAAAAUACCAUGUAAUCAUCAAGAAAAUGUACUGGAAAAAAACAAACAGAAUGGACAACCACUGGAAAACCUACCAUCAUAACCUUUGCCACUAGCAAAAGAAGUGAAAGGAAAACCAAACGGCGGAUCAUGCUUGGUGGCAAGACUGGCACAAAAGAUUAAAUCGUAUCACCUAGAGAGCGGCCGACACAAUGAUUACCCACCAUUAUGCACGGGGUACUGGAAAUGUUUAUGAGAGGCAGGGAGGUCAGGAGGGGGUACGACGAGGAGGAGAAACCGAAGGACGCAAGAAAGAACGAACCAAAGGUGACAGGCGAUGGAGCGGGCAAGACUGGAUGGGUAAACUUGCCUCAACACUAUCGCUUAGAAACUGUUUAACGUGGAUGGCAAAUGUCAAAACCAAGAUACGAACUCAACUGUGACUACAAUACAAGAGUGGUCUUAACCACUUCGUUAUAUUGACUGGUUGAAAUGGGUCCUUAAUUGUCUAUGUAGCUAAGGGAUAAUCUUAAAAUUCAAAAAGCCUUAUGAUGUAUCCCUGUCAAGGAUGUGGAAAAUCAGCUACUGUCAAAUACUGGUACCCAGAAUGAAGUGAAAUUUAGCAGAAUUGAUCAAAAUAUUGUAAAUAACAUUCAAUUUAGUAAAUCCACUAAUACUUAUUUUAGAGACAUUCUUACAUGUGCAGAAAAGUAGGGACAAUGUUUAUUACAGCAUUGUUUGUAAUAGUGAAAACUACGAAACAACAUGAACGUCUAUCAAUAGAAAAAUAUAUAUAUUAAAACAUAUAUAACAUAAAUUUUUUUAAAAUAUAUCUUGAUAUUAGAACCAUAGGAAAAUAUUUAAGAUAAAAAACCAGACAGACAAAAAGAAAAACAGCAAACUUUCACUUAAAAUUUCAGUAAUCCUCAACUAUUUCUCAUUCCGGAAUUCUGUUCUUCAUAUUCUUCAAACCUUUACUUGUGCUUAAACCUACUAUCUCGAACACUUUCCCCCGGCCUGUCAAUUUCGCAAACUGAUACAUUCGCCUAUCUGCUCAAAUAUUACCUCCUUUGUGACUUCACCAGGUAUCAUAUUUUUUUUAUUCUAAUUCCAGUGUAGUUAACAUGCAGUGUCGUAUUAGUUUCAAGGGUACAAUAUAGUGAGCCAACGGUUCCAUAUAUUACUCACUGCUCAUCAAGAUAAGUGUACCCUUAAUCCCUUUCACCCACUGCAGCCACCCCUCCACCCACCUUGCCUCCGGUAACCACCUAUGUGUUCUCUACAGUUAAAGAGUCCAGUUUUGGGGGGCGCCUAGCUGACUGAGUCAGUAGAGCAUGUGACUCUCAUUUUCGGGGUUGUAAGUUCGAGCCCCACGUUAGGUGUAGAGAUUACUUAAAA
Molecule: long non-coding RNA, 1642 nt
Organism: Neofelis nebulosa (Clouded leopard)
Lineage: Eukaryota; Metazoa; Chordata; Mammalia; Carnivora; Felidae
Exons: 2
Source: RefSeq, a predicted model, not a curated record